GAUGAAGAACGCAGCGAAAUGCGAUAAGUAAUGUGAAUUGCAGAAUUCAGUGAAUCAUCGAAUCUUUGAACGCACAUUGCGCCCGCUGGUAUUCCGGCGGGCAUGCCUGUUCGAGCGUCAUUUCAACCCUCAAGCUCUCCGGAGUUUGGUGUUGGGGCGCCUGGGGCUUUUCGACCUCAGGGCCCUCAAGUCCAUCGGCGGGACCGCCAGGACACUGAGCGCAGUAGUAUUAUUUCGCUCGGUAGGAUCUUCCACGGCGGGUCGAUCUGGCCGCUAAACCCCCCAAUUCUCACCAAAGGUUGACCUCGGAUGAGGUAGGAAUACCCGCUGAACUUAAGCAUAUCAAUAAGCGGAGGA
RNAcentral lists this unclassified non-coding RNA (357 nucleotides) under soil metagenome. RNAcentral's name for it is "partial contains 5.8S ribosomal RNA, internal transcribed spacer 2, and large subunit ribosomal RNA". The stretch from base 1 to 120 matches the Rfam family "5.8S ribosomal RNA", at positions 35 to 154 of the family's 154-position model. The record is from RNAcentral.